Molecule: ribosomal RNA, 270 nt
Filed under: Bacillus sp. SD-26
Lineage: Bacteria; Bacillati; Bacillota; Bacilli; Caryophanales; Bacillaceae
Description: partial 16S ribosomal RNA
Rfam family: Bacterial small subunit ribosomal RNA
Source: RNAcentral
CAAACAUGCAAGNUCGAGCGAGUCUCUUCGGAGGCUAGCGGCGGACGGGUGAGUAACACGUAGGCAACCCUGCCUCUCAGACUGGGAUAACAUAGGGAAACUUAUGCUAAUACCGGAUAGGUUUUUGGAUCGCAUGAUCCGAAAAGAAAAGAUGGCUUCGGCUAUCACUGGGAGAUGGGCCUGCGGCGCAUUAGCUAGUUGGUGGGGUAACGGCCUACCAAGGCGACNAUGCCUANCCNACCUGANAGGGUGACCGGNCCCNCUGGNACU